Long non-coding RNA from Mizuhopecten yessoensis (Yesso scallop), 987 nucleotides. RefSeq lists it as uncharacterized. The record is from RefSeq and is a predicted model, not a curated record. Lineage: Eukaryota; Metazoa; Mollusca; Bivalvia; Pectinida; Pectinidae. The transcript has 3 exons.
AACAGUUUGAGAUGUCACAUGGCAAUUGAUUGGUCAAUCAAAAUAAUGUGCAAUAGUAUAACCACAGUAUACCAUCCGUAAAUGUCUCAUUUUCAUAUGAAGCAAGGAUGCCGAUUGUUAACGAUGUCAAUGACCCUGACACAUGAUGAGAUUGAUUAUUAAUGACUUCAUCAACAAUAGAGUAACCUGAAAGGUCAAUAUAAUUCAGCCUCACUUUGAAUAUUCCUGAUUUCAUCAAUCCACGGCAGAGACCAAGAUUUUGAAGAAAAUGCUCAAGAAUAUCUUAAAAUCGUUGUCUCUUUUGGUGAUUUUAGCUUAUGAAUUAGAAUAAUCCUACACUAUUUUGAGUUUUCUGUUGGUAUACCGUGAUUAUACUAUCGGAAAUAUCCAUUUUACUGGGUCUGCUCCAUGUUGCAAGUAAAAUUCAAUUUGUGACAGUAUAAUCACGAUAUACUGCUGCAUAUCUCAAUAGAAUUAAGCUUUAUUCCCUAAUUAGAAGAUUUUUAGAAAACAGAACCCAUUUAAAAAAUUGGGCAUGAUGUGGGCAUGGCACCUAAAAACAUCUAUGUCAAAUCUUUGAAAUUUUGUAUUCUGGUAGUUAAUAUUAAACCAAUUAUGACAUCUAUGGAAUAAAGAUAUUUACCUGUACCUGUCCAUUCUUAGCUCACCUGACUCAUCAAGGUCUGUUUGAGGAAAUAUAAAAGUAAAAGUACUUCCUGAAAUUACUGCUUAUAAAGAAUGCAGUGCUAUUGAUCACCAUUGACCAGAUAUCUCAGUUGGUUUGUGGUCUUACAUUCCAGGCUGAUCUUCACUUGUUCCACUAGGUAUUGAAUUAAUGGUCCACUAGGUAUUGAAUUAAUGGUUUGUGGUUUACAUUCCAGGCUGAUCUUCACUUGUUCCACUAGGUAUUGAAUUAAUGGUUUGUGGUCUACAUUCCAGGCUGAUCUUCGCUUGUUCCACUAGGUAUUGAAUUAAUGGUCCAUUAGG